RNAcentral lists this ribosomal RNA (890 nucleotides) under fungal sp. AM0368. RNAcentral describes it as "eukaryotic LSU rRNA". The stretch from base 339 to 890 matches the Rfam family "Eukaryotic large subunit ribosomal RNA", at positions 1 to 646 of the family's 3401-position model. The record is from RNAcentral. Lineage: Eukaryota; Fungi.
CUGCGGAAGGAUCAUUAACAUAAUAUUCUUACACACUGUUUUUUUUACAACAAAAAAAAUCUAUCUAAAAACAAUUCUUUACAAGAAAUUCUUAAAACUUUCAACAACGGAUCUCUUGGUUCUCGCAUCGAUGAAGAACGCAGCGAAAUGCGAUACGUAAUACGAAUCGCAGCUCUCGGAAUCAUCGAAUCUUUGAACGCACAUUGCACCAUUGGGUAUUCCCAAUGGUAUGCUUGUUUGAGCGAAUACUUCCCUAAUCCUCACGGAUUGUAUUGUGUUUGCACGAAAAUAAUGACGACAGUACUCUACAAAACGGUACCGUCAGUACACUCAUUUUUUUUCCUCAAAUCAAGUAGGACUACCCGCUGAACUUAAGCAUAUCAAUAAGCGGAGGAAAAGAAACCAACAGGGAUUGCCUCAGUAACGGCGAGUGAAGCGGCAAAAGCUCAAAUUUGAAAUCCCCCCGGGGAGUUGUAAUUUGAAGAUUGCGUCUUGGAGGCGACCGUGUCUAUGUUCCUUGGAACAGGACGUCACAGAGGGUGAGAAUCCCGUGCGGCACGGCCCCCGGCUCCUUAUAAGGCGCUCUCGACGAGUCGAGUUGUUUGGGAAUGCAGCUCAAAGUGGGUGGUAAAUUCCAUCUAAAGCUAAAUACAGGCGAGAGACCGAUAGCGAACAAGUACAGUGAUGGAAAGAUGAAAAGCACUUUGAAAAGAGAGUGAAACAGCACGUGAAAUUGUUGAAAGGGAAGGGCAUGCCGUCAGAUUGUCAGUGUGGGUAAGAAGCGGGGUACAAAGACUGUGGAACGUGGCCCUCGGGUGUUAUAGCCGCAGUUCAUGCCCCGUCUCUUUCCGAGGCCUGCUUUGAGGACACCGACGUAAUGACGGUACGCC